UACGUAGGGUGCGAGCGUUGUCCGGAAUUACUGGGCGUAAAGAGCUCGUAGGUGGCUUGUCGCGUUGUUCGUGAAAACUCACAGCUUAACUGUGGGCGUGCGGGCGAUACGGGCAGACUGGAGUACUGCAGGGGAGACUGGAAUUCCUGGUGUAGCGGUGGAAUGCGCAGAUAUCGGGAGGAACACCGGUGGCGAAGGCGGUUCUCUGGGCCUGUACUGACGCUGAGGAGCGAAAGCGUGGGGAGCAAACAGG
Molecule: ribosomal RNA, 253 nt
Filed under: uncultured bacterium
Lineage: Bacteria
Description: partial 16S ribosomal RNA
Rfam family: Bacterial small subunit ribosomal RNA
Source: RNAcentral